Molecule: long non-coding RNA, 207 nt
Filed under: Manihot esculenta (cassava)
Lineage: Eukaryota; Viridiplantae; Streptophyta; Magnoliopsida; Malpighiales; Euphorbiaceae
Description: long non-coding RNA (MESC_LNC007507)
Source: RNAcentral
CUGGCUUUUGUCCCCUUGGCCUUUUCAUUUCAAAACUCAAUUUUCUUAACUCAAAACAUGCAAACAUGAUAAAAAACACUUAAAAAACAUCUUAAAAACCUUUCUUAUACCCUUAGGGCAAGCUCCGACAUCCUCGAAUCCCGACUUCCAACGGAAAAUCCGCCGGAACGUAGGAAUUCCGAUACCGGGGUCUAGCCGGGUAUUACA